RNAcentral lists this ribosomal RNA (520 nucleotides) under uncultured Glomeromycotina. RNAcentral describes it as "SSU rRNA". It matches the Rfam family "Eukaryotic small subunit ribosomal RNA", at positions 569 to 1085 of the family's 1831-position model. Lineage: Eukaryota; Fungi; Glomeromycota. The record is from RNAcentral.
AGCAGCCGCGGUAAUUCCAGCUCCAAUAGCGUAUAUUAAAGUUGUUGCAGUUAAAAAGCUCGUAGUUGAAUUUCGGGAUUGGCGCACCGGUCGUGCCUCACGGGGUAUGAACUGGUGCAGUCAAUUUCUCACCUUCUGGAGAACCGCGAUGUCCUUAAUUGGAUGCCGCGGGGAACCAGGACCUUUACUUUGAAAAAUUAGAGUGUUUAAAGCAGGCAUUUUUGCUUGAAUACAUUAGCAUGGAAUAAUAAAAUAGGACGGCAUGGUUCUAUUUUGUUGGUUUCUAGGACCACCGUAAUGAUUAAUAGGGAUAGUUGGGGGCAUUAGUAUUCAAUUGUCAGAGGUGAAAUUCUUGGAUUUAUUGAAGACUAACUACUGCGAAAGCAUUUGCCAAGGAUGUUUUCAUUAAUCAAGAACGAAAGUUAGGGGAUCGAAGACGAUCAGAUACCGUCGUAGUCUUAACCAUAAACUAUGCCGACUAGGAAUCAGACGAUGUUAAUUUUUAAUGACUCGUUUGGCA